UGGCCCGUUUUGGCACUAGCACAUUUUUGCUUUGAUUCGUAGCUUUUGAGCAAUUAUGUGUAGUGCCAAUAUGGGAGA
RNAcentral lists this microRNA precursor (78 nucleotides) under Calypte anna (Anna's hummingbird). RNAcentral's name for it is "mir-96 microRNA precursor family". It matches the Rfam family "mir-96 microRNA precursor family". RNAcentral also lists the same sequence under 2 other names. The record is from Rfam by way of RNAcentral. Lineage: Eukaryota; Metazoa; Chordata; Aves; Apodiformes; Trochilidae.